Molecule: long non-coding RNA, 268 nt
Organism: Sarcophilus harrisii (Tasmanian devil)
Lineage: Eukaryota; Metazoa; Chordata; Mammalia; Dasyuromorphia; Dasyuridae
Exons: 3
Source: RefSeq, a predicted model, not a curated record
GGAUGAUACAUGAUUCCAGGUCUCUACUGCCACAUCAGUUCUGGGCCAGAGACAAGGAUACAUUAUGACAGGCAAUAUGGUGCUCCAUUCCAAAAGGCUCAUCAUAUUAAUGCCAAAUUUAGUGUGGACAUCUGAUAGCAUAAUCCACUGAAGCUAAGAACUAUCAAGAUCAAGAUUGCCACCAAGCAGUCUCAAAAUUUCCUUCUGAGAACAGAAGGAAUAAUCAUCAUUUCCCCCAAAGACCUCCAAGAAUCAAAAUUCAUUUUCA